Molecule: ribosomal RNA, 579 nt
Filed under: uncultured bacterium
Lineage: Bacteria
Description: bacterial SSU rRNA
Rfam family: Bacterial small subunit ribosomal RNA
Source: RNAcentral
CCUACGGGAGGCAGCAGUGAGGAAUAUUGGACAAUGGAGGCAACUCUGAUCCAGCCAUGCCGCGUGCAGGAAGACUGCCCUAUGGGUUGUAAACUGCUUUUAUAUAGGAAGAAACCUUGGUACGUGUACCAAGCUGACGGUACUAUAAGAAUAAGGAUCGGCUAACUCCGUGCCAGCAGCCGCGGUAAUACGGAGGAUCCAAGCGUUAUCCGGAAUCAUUGGGUUUAAAGGGUCCGUAGGUGGAUAAUUAAGUCAGAGGUGAAAUCUUGCAGCUCAACUGUAGAACUGCCUUUGAUACUGCCGGUCUUGAAUUAUUGUGAAGUGGUUAGAAUAUGUAGUGUAGCGGUGAAAUGCAUAGAUAUUACAUAGAAUACCGAUUGCGAAGGCAGAUCACUAACAAUAUAUUGACACUGAUGGACGAAAGCGUGGGGAGCGAACGGGAUUAGAUACCCCGGUAGUCCACGCCGUAAACGAUGGUCACUAGCUGUUCGGACUUCGGUCUGAGUGGCUAAGCGAAAGUGAUAAGUGACCCACCUGGGGAGUACGUUCGCAAGAAUGAAACUCAAAGGAAUUGACGGA